This 737-nucleotide ribosomal RNA is filed under the name uncultured bacterium. RNAcentral describes it as "bacterial SSU rRNA". It matches the Rfam family "Bacterial small subunit ribosomal RNA", at positions 28 to 757 of the family's 1533-position model. The record is from RNAcentral.
GAUGAACCCUUUCGGCAGGCCUAACACAUGCAAGUCGAGGGGCAGCACGGUGUAGCAAUACACUGGUGGCGACCGGCGCACGGGUGCGUAACGCGUAUGCAACCUACCCAUAACAGGGGGAUAACACUGAGAAAUUGGUACUAAUACCCCAUAACAUCAGGACCGGCAUCGGUUCUGGUUGAAAACUCCGGUGGUUAUGGAUGGGCAUGCGUUGUAUUAGCUGGUUGGUGAAGUAACGGCUCACCAAGGCAACGAUACAUAGGGGGACUGAGAGGUUAACCCCCCACAUUGGUACUGAAACACGGACCAAACUCCUACGGGAGGCAACAGUGAAGAAUAUUGGUCAAUGGACGCAAGUCUGAACCCUCCAUGCCGCGUGCAAGAAGACGGCUCUAUGAAUUGUAAACUGCUUUUGUACAAAAAAUAACUCUCUUACGUGUAAGAGCCCUGAAAGUAUCGUACGAAUAAGGAUCGGCUAAUUCCGUGCCAGCAGCCGCGGUAAUACGGAGGAUCCCAGCGUUAUCCGGAUUUAUUGGGUUUAAAGGGUGCGUAGGCGGUUUGAUAAGUUAGAGGUGAAAUACCGGUGCUUAACACCGGAACUGCCUCUAAUACUGUUGAACUAGAGAGUAGUUGCGGUAGGCGGAAUGUAUGGUGUAGCGGUGAAAUGCUUAGAGAUCAUACAGAACACCGAUUGCGAAGGCAGCUUACCAAACUAUAUCUGACCGUUGAGGCACGAA